GACCUGGUGGUGAAUGGUUCACACCCACAGCUCUUGGAAGGAGACAGCCGAAUUAUGUGGGAGUUCUCGGUUCGAUUCCGGGCCAGGUCA
Molecule: non-coding RNA, 90 nt
Organism: Mycena polygramma
Lineage: Eukaryota; Fungi; Basidiomycota; Agaricomycetes; Agaricales; Mycenaceae
Source: the annotation of a GenBank genome assembly